UCAAGGGGUCCAAGUACGGGUGUCACACGCCAUAGCUCUGGGGGCCUCUGAUCUCUCCAACGGUGAGGAAGCUGAACUGACUUUGGUGACAUAUAUUCCCCAAGAUCUGACAGCUGAUGAGUGACAGAGCACGUAUUCAAACCCAGAUGAUGGAUCCAGCCACAAGUGACACUUUGCACAGGACAACCGUGGGCCCCAGCAGAGGACUGGCAGCCCCCAUGCAUGGAAGACAGCACAGCCAUGUGAAGACACAGAUGCAGGAGGGAAGAUGUCAUGAGGGCAGAAAUUGGAGUUAUGUAACUGCAGGCCAAAGAACACCAAAAAUUGCCAACAAACCAUCAGAAGCUAGAAGAGGCAAGUAAAGAUUACCCUACAGAUUCCAGAAUGUGUGUGGCCAUACCAACAUCUUGAUUUCAGACCUCUGGCUUCCAGAACUCUGAGACAAUUGGCUUCUGUUGUUUAAGCUGCUGAGUUUGUGGUACUUUGUUACACUGCCUUAGGAAACUAAUACACAUGCCAACUUUGUUUUCUAAUUUUUUAAAUAAUUAUUUACUCCAUACCUUCUGCAUUUUUACAGCUAAAGUAUAACAAUGAGUUAUUUGUGUUUAAAAAUAUAUACACAGGGGACCGGGCACAGUGGCUCAUGCCUGUAAUCCCAGCACUUUGGGAGGUCGAGGCAGGCAUAUCACCUGAGGUCGGGAGUUCAAGACCAGCUUGACCAACAUGAAGAAACCCUGUCUCUACUACCAAUACAAAAAUUAGCCAGGUGUGGUGGCAGGUGACUGUAAUCCCAGCUACUCGGGAGGCUGAAGCAGGAGAAUCACUUGAACCCGGGAGGCAGAGGCUGUGGUGAGGGCCAAGAUCAUGCCAUUGCACUCCAGUCUGGGUAACAAGAGCAAAACUCCGUCUCAAAUAUAUAUAUAUAUAUAUACACACACACACACACACACACA
Molecule: long non-coding RNA, 953 nt
Filed under: Homo sapiens (human)
Lineage: Eukaryota; Metazoa; Chordata; Mammalia; Primates; Hominidae
Description: HSALNT0098274
Source: RNAcentral